Molecule: ribosomal RNA, 465 nt
Filed under: uncultured Klebsiella sp.
Lineage: Bacteria; Pseudomonadati; Pseudomonadota; Gammaproteobacteria; Enterobacterales; Enterobacteriaceae
Description: bacterial SSU rRNA
Rfam family: Bacterial small subunit ribosomal RNA
Source: RNAcentral
CCUACGGGUGGCUGCAGUGGGGAAUAUUGCACAAUGGGCGCAAGCCUGAUGCAGCCAUGCCGCGUGUGUGAAGAAGGCCUUCGGGUUGUAAAGCACUUUCAGCGGGGAGGAAGGCGUUAAGGUUAAUAACCUUGUCGAUUGACGUUACCCGCAGAAGAAGCACCGGCUAACUCCGUACCAGCAGCCGCGGUAAUACGGAGGGUGCAAGCGUUAAUCGGAAUUACUGGGCGUAAAGCGCACGCAGGCGGUCUGUCAAGUCGGAUGUGAAAUCCCCGGGCUCAACCUGGGAACUGCAUUCGAAACUGGCAGGCUAGAGUCUUGUAGAGGGGGGUAGAAUUCCAGGUGUAGCGGUGAAAUGCGUAGAGAUCUGGAGGAAUACCGGUGGCGAAGGCGGCCCCCUGGACAAAGACUGACGCUCAGGUGCGAAAGCGUGGGGAGCAAACAGGAUUAGAUACCCCAGUAGUC